Molecule: ribosomal RNA, 465 nt
Filed under: Vreelandella stevensii
Lineage: Bacteria; Pseudomonadati; Pseudomonadota; Gammaproteobacteria; Oceanospirillales; Halomonadaceae
Description: partial 16S ribosomal RNA
Rfam family: Bacterial small subunit ribosomal RNA
Source: RNAcentral
CCCACGGGUGGCUGCAGUGGGGAAUAUUGGACAAUGGGGGGAACCCUGAUCCAGCCAUGCCGCGUGUGUGAAGAAGGCCCUCGGGUUGUAAAGCACUUUCAGUGAGGAAGAACGCCUGGUGGUUAAUACCCAUCAGGAAAGACAUCACUCACAGAAGAAGCACCGGCUAACUCCGUGCCAGCAGCCGCGGUAAUACGGAGGGUGCGAGCGUUAAUCGGAAUUACUGGGCGUAAAGCGCGCGUAGGUGGCUUGAUAAGCCGGUUGUGAAAGCCCCGGGCUCAACCUGGGAACGGCAUCCGGAACUGUCAAGCUAGAGUGCAGGAGAGGAAGGUAGAAUUCCCGGUGUAGCGGUGAAAUGCGUAGAGAUCGGGAGGAAUACCAGUGGCGAAGGCGGCCUUCUGGACUGACACUGACACUGAGGUGCGAAAGCGUGGGUAGCAAACAGGAUUAGAUACCCGUGUAGUC